Non-coding RNA from Ceratotherium simum simum (southern white rhinoceros), 141 nucleotides. NCBI's taxonomy places the organism in Eukaryota, Metazoa, Chordata, Mammalia, Perissodactyla, Rhinocerotidae. The record is from RefSeq and is a predicted model, not a curated record.
UAGAAAAACGUUUUUGCCCUGCAACUCUUGUCUGAUAGGAACACGAGCGGUUCUGCGUUACAGUAACGGGAAAUCGCAUUUUUAACGGGAGUGCUGUUUGGACUUGCUCAAUAAAACCUUAUCUCCGCGACAAGUGACUUA